This 469-nucleotide ribosomal RNA is filed under the name uncultured bacterium. Its description in RNAcentral is "partial 16S ribosomal RNA". It matches the Rfam family "Bacterial small subunit ribosomal RNA", at positions 28 to 507 of the family's 1533-position model. The record is from RNAcentral.
GACGAACGCUGGCGGCGUGCUUAACACAUGCAAGUCGAACGGAAAGGCCCUGCUUGCAGGGUGCUCGAGUGGCGAACGGGUGAGUAACACGUGGGUGAUCUGCCCCUUACUUUGGGAUAAGCCUGGGAAACUGGGUCUAAUACUGGAUAGGACCAUGCUGUAGGUGGUGUGGUGGAAAGAUUAGUUUCGGUAAGGGAUGAGCUCGCGGCCUAUCAGCUUGUUGGUGGGGUAAUGGCCUACCAAGGCGUCGACGGGUAGCCGGCCUGAGAGGGUGGACGGCCACAUUAGGACUGAGAUGCGGCCCAGACGCCUACGGGAGGCAGCAGUGGGGAAUAGUGCACAAUGGGAGCGAGCCUGAUGCAGCGACGCCGCGUGGGGGAUGACAGCCUUCGGGUUGUAAACUCCUUUCAGCCAUGACGAAGCCCUUGUGGUGACGGUAGUGGUAGAAGAAGCACCGGCUAACUACGUG